UGAGGAAUAUUGGGCAAUGCCCGCAAGGGUGACCCAGCAACGCCGCGUGGAGGAUGAAUGUCGUAAGAUUGUAAACUCCUGUUAGAGGGGAAGAAUAGUACCGGUUGGACCGGUAUAUGACUGUACCCUCAGAGAAAGCCCCGGCUGACUACGUGCCAGCAGCCGUGGUAAUACGUAGGGGGCAAGCGUUGUCCGGAUUUACGGGGUGUAAAGGGCGCGCAGGCGGGAUAAAAAGUCAGUGGUGAAAUCCUACAGCUUAACUGUAGAACUGCCUUUGAUACUUUUAUUCGUGAGUUCGGGAGGGAGAGACGGAAUUCCAGGUGGAGUGGUGAAAUACGUAGAUAUCUGGAAGAACACCAGUUGCGAAGGCGGUCUCUUGGUCCGACACUGACGCUGAGGCGCGAAAGCGUGGGGAGCAAACA
RNAcentral lists this ribosomal RNA (422 nucleotides) under uncultured bacterium. RNAcentral's name for it is "bacterial SSU rRNA". It matches the Rfam family "Bacterial small subunit ribosomal RNA", at positions 355 to 774 of the family's 1533-position model. The record is from RNAcentral.